Molecule: non-coding RNA, 24 nt
Filed under: Arabidopsis thaliana (thale cress)
Lineage: Eukaryota; Viridiplantae; Streptophyta; Magnoliopsida; Brassicales; Brassicaceae
Source: RNAcentral
AUAUCCUCGAUGUUAUCUCGAUGC